Molecule: small RNA, 42 nt
Filed under: Arabidopsis thaliana (thale cress)
Lineage: Eukaryota; Viridiplantae; Streptophyta; Magnoliopsida; Brassicales; Brassicaceae
Description: ATSL183730
Source: RNAcentral
UUGUUUCUUCAUCAUCACCUACUUCAAUCAAAAAACAUUCCA